CCCUUAGAUGUUCUGGGCUGCACGCGUGCUACAAUGAUACAUACAUACAGCAAUCCUAUACAGACAUGUAGUGGUAAUCUUUAAUAUGUAUCGUACUAGGGAUAGACUAUUGUAAUUAUUGGUCUUGAACCAGGAAUUCCUAGUAAGCGUAAGUCACCAACUUACGCUGAUUACGUCCCUGCCCUUUGUACACACCGCCCGUCGCUUCUACCGAUUGAGUGUUCCGGUGAAUUAUUCUGAUCACUCCAUGUGAAAAGUUUUGUAAACCUUAACACUUAGAGGAAGGAGAANUCGUAACA
This 299-nucleotide ribosomal RNA is filed under the name uncultured eukaryote. RNAcentral describes it as "partial 18S ribosomal RNA". It matches the Rfam family "Eukaryotic small subunit ribosomal RNA", at positions 1470 to 1796 of the family's 1831-position model. The record is from RNAcentral.